GAUGAACGCUGGCGGCGUGCUUAAUACAUGCAAGUCGAGCGAACGGACGAGAAGCUUGCUGCUCUGAUGUUAGCGGCGGACGGGUGAGUAACACGUGGAUAACCCACCUAUAAGACUGGGAUAACGGCGAGAAACCGGAGUUAAUACCGGAUAACAUUUUGAAUCGCAUGGUUGAAAAGUGAAAGACGGUUUUGCUGUCACUUCUAGCUGGAUCCGCGCUGCAUUGGCGAGUUGGUAAGGUAACGGCUUACCAUGGCAACGAUGCAUAGCUGACCUGAGAGGGUGUCGGGCGACACUGAGACUGAGACACGGUACAGACUCCGACGGGAGGCAGCAGUAGCGAAUCGUCCGCAAUGGGGGAAAUCCUGACGAAGCAGCGCCAGGUGAGUGAUGAAGGGCUGCGGGUCGGAAAACUCUGUUAGUGGGGAAGAACAUUUUUGUAAGUAACUGUGCACAUCUUGACGGUACCUAAUCAGAAAGCCACGGCUAACUACGUG
Molecule: ribosomal RNA, 497 nt
Filed under: uncultured bacterium
Lineage: Bacteria
Description: partial 16S ribosomal RNA
Rfam family: Bacterial small subunit ribosomal RNA
Source: RNAcentral